AGAACGAACGCUGGCGGCAUGCCUAACACAUGCAAGUCGAACGUGAUCCAGGCUUCGGCCUGGUGAAAGUGGCAGACGGGUGAGUAACGCGUGGGAACCUGCCCUGUGGUGGGGAAUAACCGUGGGAAACUGCGGCUAAUACCCUAUGAGUCCUUCGGGAGAAAGAUUUAUCGCCAUAGGAGGGGCCCGCGUCGGAUUAGGUAGUUGGUGGGGUAACGGCCUACCAAGCCUUCGAUCCGUAGCUGGUCUGAGAGGAUGAUCAGCCACACUGGGACUGAGAUACGGCCCAGACUCCUACGGGAGGCAGCAGUGGGAAUAUUGGACAAUGGGGGCAACCCUGAUCCAGCAAUGCCGCGUGGAUGAUGAAGGCCUUCGGGUUGUAAAGUCCGUUUCGGCGGGGAAGAUGAUGACGGUACCGCGGAAGACGCCCGGCUAACUUCGUGCCAGCAGCCGC
Molecule: ribosomal RNA, 454 nt
Filed under: uncultured bacterium
Lineage: Bacteria
Description: SSU rRNA
Rfam family: Bacterial small subunit ribosomal RNA
Source: RNAcentral